RNAcentral lists this ribosomal RNA (254 nucleotides) under uncultured bacterium. RNAcentral describes it as "partial 16S ribosomal RNA". It matches the Rfam family "Bacterial small subunit ribosomal RNA", at positions 524 to 776 of the family's 1533-position model. The record is from RNAcentral.
UACGUAGGGUGCGAGCGUUGUCCGGAAUUAUUGGGCGUAAAGAGCUCGUAGGCGGUCUGUCACGUCGCUCGUGAAAACUUGGGGCUUAACCCUGAGCGUGCGGUCGAUACGGGCAUGACUUGAGUUCGGCAGGGGAGACUGGAAUUCCUGGUGUAGCGGUGAAAUGCGCAGAUAUCAGGAGGAACACCGGUGGCGAAGGCGGGUCUCUGGGCCGAUACUGACGCUGAGGAGCGAAAGCGUGGGGAGCGAACAGG